RNAcentral lists this ribosomal RNA (1372 nucleotides) under uncultured bacterium. RNAcentral's name for it is "bacterial SSU rRNA". It matches the Rfam family "Bacterial small subunit ribosomal RNA", at positions 28 to 1381 of the family's 1533-position model. The record is from RNAcentral.
GAUGAACGCUGGCGGCGUGCCUAAUACAUGCAAGUCGAGCGAGCGGACGAGAAGCUUGCUUCUCUGAUGUUAGCGGCGGACGGGUGAGUAACACGUGGAUAACCUACCUAUAAGACUGGGAUAACUUCGGGAAACCGGAGCUAAUACCGGAUAAUAUUUUGAACCGCAUGGUUCAAAAGUGAAAGACGGUCUUGCUGUCACUUAUAGAUGGAUCCGCGCUGCAUUAGCUAGUUGGUAAGGUAACGGCUUACCAAGGCAACGAUGCAUAGCCGACCUGAGAGGGUGAUCGGCCACACUGGAACUGAGACACGGUCCAGACUCCUACGGGAGGCAGCAGUAGGGAAUCUUCCGCAAUGGGCGAAAGCCUGACGGAGCAACGCCGCGUGAGUGAUGAAGGUCUUCGGAUCGUAAAACUCUGUUAUUAGGGAAGAACAUAUGUGUAAGUAACUGUGCACAUCUUGACGGUACCUAAUCAGAAAGCCACGGCUAACUACGUGCCAGCAGCCGCGGUAAUACGUAGGUGGCAAGCGUUAUCCGGAAUUAUUGGGCGUAAAGCGCGCGUAGGCGGUUUUUUAAGUCUGAUGUGAAAGCCCACGGCUCAACCGUGGAGGGUCAUUGGAAACUGGAAAACUUGAGUGCAGAAGAGGAAAGUGGAAUUCCAUGUGUAGCGGUGAAAUGCGCAGAGAUAUGGAGGAACACCAGUGGCGAAGGCGACUUUCUGGUCUGUAACUGACGCUGAUGUGCGAAAGCGUGGGGAUCAAACAGGAUUAGAUACCCUGGUAGUCCACGCCGUAAACGAUGAGUGCUAAGUGUUAGGGGGUUUCCGCCCCUUAGUGCUGCAGCUAACGCAUUAAGCACUCCGCCUGGGGAGUACGACCGCAAGGUUGAAACUCAAAGGAAUUGACGGGGACCCGCACAAGCGGUGGAGCAUGUGGUUUAAUUCGAAGCAACGCGAAGAACCUUACCAAAUCUUGACAUCCUUUGACAACUCUAGAGAUAGAGCUUUCCCCUUCGGGGGACAAAGUGACAGGUGGUGCAUGGUUGUCGUCAGCUCGUGUCGUGAGAUGUUGGGUUAAGUCCCGCAACGAGCGCAACCCUUAAGCUUAGUUGCCAUCAUUAAGUUGGGCACUCUAAGUUGACUGCCGGUGACAAACCGGAGGAAGGUGGGGAUGACGUCAAAUCAUCAUGCCCCUUAUGAUUUGGGCUACACACGUGCUACAAUGGACAAUACAAAGGGCAGCGAAACCGCGAGGUCAAGCAAAUCCCAUAAAGUUGUUCUCAGUUCGGAUUGUAGUCUGCAACUCGACUACAUGAAGCUGGAAUCGCUAGUAAUCGUAGAUCAGCAUGCUACGGUGAAUACGUUCCCGGGUCU